RNAcentral lists this ribosomal RNA (461 nucleotides) under uncultured bacterium. RNAcentral's name for it is "partial 16S ribosomal RNA". It matches the Rfam family "Bacterial small subunit ribosomal RNA", at positions 28 to 507 of the family's 1533-position model. The record is from RNAcentral.
GACGAACGCUGGCGGCGUGCUUAACACAUGCAAGUCGAGCGGAAAGGCCCUUCGGGGUACUCGAGCGGCGAACGGGUGAGUAACACGUGAGUAACCUGCCCCAGACUUUGGGAUAACCCUCGGAAACGGGGGCUAAUACCGGAUACGACACAGCUUCGCAUGGGGUCUGUGUGGAAAGUUUUUCGGUUUGGGAUGGGCUCGCGGCCUAUCAGCUUGUUGGUGGGGUAUGGCCUACCAAGGCGACGACGGGUAGCCGGCCUGAGAGGGCGACCGGCCACACUGGGACUGAGACACGGCCCAGACUCCUACGGGAGGCAGCAGUGGGGAAUAUUGCACAAUGGGCGGAAGCCUGAUGCAGCGACGCCGCGUGAGGGAUGACGGCCUUCGGGUUGUAAACCUCUUUCAGCAGGGACGAAGCGUAAGUGACGGUACCUGCAGAAGAAGCGCCGGCCAACUACGUG